Molecule: long non-coding RNA, 387 nt
Filed under: Ixodes scapularis (black-legged tick)
Lineage: Eukaryota; Metazoa; Arthropoda; Arachnida; Ixodida; Ixodidae
Description: uncharacterized LOC121834141, transcript variant X1
Source: RNAcentral
UCCUCUGGUUGCGGUGGCUUCCCGGUGCAAUGGCAAAUUCCAAACCUAAAAAGAGGGGUCUGUGGCUGAAGGCGACAUGGCAAAGGGAGGAGAGGAGGAACGUCCUGCGCAAGUGGCAUGCCCCCUACCACCGAAUGGUACGAACGGUCUGGAGUUGAUACGGCACGGGAUCUGCUGUCCAUUCGGCAGGACCAGCUGGCUGUCCAGCGAGAACUGCUGGCCACACAGCAGGGUCUGCUGGCCACCCAGCAGCAGCAGCUGGCAGUUCAGCAGGAAAUGCUGCUCGUGCAGAGAGAGGCAGUCGAUGCACUCCGUCGACUUGCAAGCGCUGUAGAGGGACAAGCAGCAGCAAGUGCGCACCAGUCGUCCGCACUGACUUCGCUAGUG